RNAcentral lists this small RNA (84 nucleotides) under Flavobacterium granuli. RNAcentral describes it as "Flavo-1 RNA". It matches the Rfam family "Flavo-1 RNA". Lineage: Bacteria; Pseudomonadati; Bacteroidota; Flavobacteriia; Flavobacteriales; Flavobacteriaceae. The record is from RNAcentral.
UCUUAGCCCCGAUGGAAGUAGCAUCCCAUGCCUUGCGAGGAACGGAGCAAUAAGGCAUGGAUACAACGGACAGCGGGACUAUUG